RNAcentral lists this ribosomal RNA (65 nucleotides) under Corbulidae sp. CL_GUO. Its description in RNAcentral is "partial 5.8S ribosomal RNA". Lineage: Eukaryota; Metazoa; Mollusca; Bivalvia; Myida; Corbulidae. The record is from RNAcentral.
UCUCCGCUUACUGAUAUGUUUAAGUUCAGCGGGUAGUCUCGUCUGAUCCGAGGUCGGAGUGUGUA